CGUGUAGGCGGCUUCGCAAGUCAGAGGUGAAAUGUCCCGGCUCAACCGGGGACCUGCCUUUGAAACUGCGGAGCUUGAGGCCGUGAGAGGAGACUGGAAUUCCCAGUGUAGCGGUGAAAUGCAUAGAUAUUGGGAAGAACACCAGUGGCGAAGGCGAGUCUCUGGCACGGUUCUGACGCUGAGGCGCGAAAGCUAGGGGAGCGAACG
RNAcentral lists this ribosomal RNA (207 nucleotides) under uncultured bacterium. Its description in RNAcentral is "partial 16S ribosomal RNA". It matches the Rfam family "Bacterial small subunit ribosomal RNA", at positions 568 to 774 of the family's 1533-position model. The record is from RNAcentral.